UGCCUUGCAAGCGAAAGGUCUUGAAUUUGAUCCCUAGUACCGCAAAAAGAGAAGCAAAGUGUCUUAUUGGUGGACCCUUCUGGGAGGUUACCAAGCCUAUUAGCUGUUGUUCUCAGGUUUCCUUUUUCUGAGGGCUAAAUUCCAAUAUUGAUGGCCUCUGGGGGUCUUGUUGUGGGUGCCUGCUCGGGUCCUCUACCCUGGGAGGCCACCUGCCCCGGGUACUCCCUCCUGCAGAGGAACCUGUCCCUCUGACCACGCUGUGCUGACAGAGGACGCUAGGAGGCGUACCCACAGAGCACUGGUGAGGAAAGAGGUGAAAAUGGACCCUCCUCCAUCCUGUUCACAAACCUGGGCCUGGAUGUGGCUUCAAUGCCAAAGCAAUUUUGAGGCAAAUUGAGAAGAAAGCAGAAGAAUGGUUAUGACAUUCAAGUUGUGAAGUAUUGCCUGAGGAGAGACGUAAAGCAUAACCAUUAAAGAAAAGGGGGGCAACGAAGAUUAGAAUGAGAAACUUUUUAUUUUCUUUUGUUUUGUUUGAGACAGGGUCUGCCUAUGUAGUGCAGGCUAGCCUCGAACUCAGGGCAAUCCUCCUGCCUCAGGCUCCUGAGUGCCGGGAUUACAGGCAUGUGCUGCCAUGCCAAAAAUUUGAUUUUGAAAAAAGGUAGCAGAAGUAGACAGAAAGACAAGCUGAAGACCAGGGGAACUGUCUGGAAGUUGCUUACCAAACAAAGGAUUUGUAUUCAGUGUAUACACAAACUACAAUUGAAGGAGAAAAAGAUGGACAGCAACAGGAAGUGUUCGAGGGCCCUGACAGACACCCCUGGGGGCGGAGUCCCCACAGCAGCUGCCCCUGCCCGCCGGGCUGCGUUAGCCCUGCACUCCGCACUCCUGUCCACUCCCCCCUCCUCGUGCCCACCUCGCUGCCCCUGCUCAGUGUGGGGUAGCGUGGCGGGGUCCUCGGCCUCCAUCCUCACCUGCGCCCCCUUAAAGUCCAUGUGUCUUACCCUCCUCACCUCCCUCUGCAACAGCAUGCGUGGUGUCCCCAGCCUCCCACCCCUGUCCUAGGCCCCAGUAUGUGCUGUAACAACCCCGUGGGGCCGGUGAGUGGGACAGUGGGACACGAACUCAACAGUCCAUGCAGGUUCAGCCCCAGGGAUGAACAAAGGGUCUCUUACAAGCAGAGGGGUUUUUAAUGGCCUUCUGUGUUAGGCUUUGGAGGGGCUGGGUUGGAGAAACGCUGGCCUGUGGGCAGCUGCUGUGUCCUUUGUGUCUGCUGUGGCCUGCCGACACGUCCUCAGGGGACUGGCCUCAGCCUGCCCCGUCCUCUGUGACCUAGGUUAAAUGCAACCCGUGUCACUCACAGUGGCAGUGGGCUCAUCUGCACUGGCAGCAUCCUGUCCAGGUCCUGUUGCCAGGUGUGCUGCAGGACCCGGUGUGUUCAUAGCUGGGUGGUCCAGGAUGCCUCCAGGACCCACAGGCUGCUGAGCCAUACCCUAUGCAUGGUGGAAUCCUUCAAACACAAGGAAGAGAUUUCCGAAACAUUCCAUGCUCACGACCCAGUGGAAAACACACAGCUCCCCUUUACCCUCAGGCUGAGUCCCUCUCAAAGCUUGGCCUUGCUGCCUCAUAAUGUCAUGGGAAGUAUGAAAUAUGAAAUAUUACAUCUCCCAACCUAUUAACUGUAUGAUACACCGAGUUCUUGUUCUCUAGAAAUUGAUGAAUGAGUUCUAGGAACGACGGAGGUUAAGGAUAGGAAGAUAUUCAUUGAUAGGAAGGCUCCUGAGGGGCAGGAGUGGGCAGCCGGGGACCCCACUUUACAGAGGAGUUUUAUAGGGUGAAACCCACAUGGGUACAACGUGGGCCAAAGCCAUGAUCAUCCAAUAAGGUUACAAGUGCAGUCACUUAGGUAACGGUGGUCCAAUUGGGAAGCGAGUCAGGCAACAAGCGCGGAUGGAAAGAACAAGGAUCCUCCUAGGGGUAGUGGGUCCAGAGCUCUCUGGUCACCCCCAGGGUGGUCGAUGCCUAUCUAGACUUCACUAAGCCCAGUUCUUUGAAGACGUAUGUGGGUCUGGUCAUCUUGUCUCCAUCUUGAGGCCUGGUUUUCAGCUGAUGUGCAGCUAUGCUGUGUUUCACCUUGUCCUGGCCCUCCCGAGGACUCAGCCCUAUCCGACUGCCUGUAGUAUGUCUACCUAGCUCAUCUAUCUAUAGCAGUACUUCCUGACCUGGGUCUCAGUCUGUUUCCACUGGGUCCGACGCCUGGUGUGGACAGCCCGGCCUCAGAGAACCAGCCCGGGCUUUGCUUCCUGCCCUCCCCCGGACUUCAGGAGCAUCUCAGAGUCCGUCGCCUCUGCCAACUCCGAGCUAGCUGGCCCACCAUCCGCUUCACACCUGAAGGAGCCUGCAGGCUGACUCCGCCGCUUUCGCAUGCUCCGUUACCCUGGGCUCUUCGACAGGCCAGCUCUCAGGGCCAACCUGGGCUCCGACUCCGAGAGCCGGGCCUAGACCCUUGGCGGCCUCUGCUCUUCCUGGGCCAGAUAAGAGUUCUUCUACCGAGUUCUAAAAGAAGUUUGGACAACGUGGCCACAGUAUUCGGUGAGAACCCCUGGUGCCCAACAUCCGGGCCAUGGGGAGGCUGCGCCGUGUCGGCCUGGGUCCGUCCCUUUCUCCUGCGGAUGAAUUCAGCUGUUCCCUUCAUCCUCGCUAAGCGGCCUCGUUCUCCUGUGAACUGGGAUCCUCUGCCAGUGCAUCGCCUUCCCGCAGACGGGCGUCCUCCUGCGCCCAAGCCGGGACUAAGUCCCAGACGCAGACUGACAAAUUCCAGAUUCACACCCCAAACGCCCAGACAUUCCCAGCUCCAAACUGCAGUGUGCCUGUCUAUCUCUCGAGGGCGCGAACUCUCUUUCUUUGAGUGCACAUUUUUGAAAAUUCCCUCUAAUAAAUCCCUUUUCUAUCUCUUACUGACCCAUCCUGAAAAUCCUCACUCAGGGACCGGAGCCUGCGGUCCUGCAUCCAGUCCACGGUCAGGGCGAGGGCAGGCGCCUCACCUGGGCUCCCACGCCGUCCGCGGCAGGGGGCGCUCAUGGCAGCGGCGGCCUGGAGACCGGGUCCCCUGGGCCUCUGCACCCCGCCCCCUGCUGGCUCCCUGCACGCACCCCGCAAACAUCCUCUCCCAUCCCCUCACACCCGAGGAGGGGCUGUGCCCGCCCCACUCUGCUUGCCAAGGUCUCCCAAGGUCAAGGGGAUUUGAACCCAGGCCAGACUGAGAUGGGAUGGAAGAAAUAGGUAGAAAAGAGACAAGGUGAACCCUAAUCUAGAUUUACACUCUUUUUUCUUGUUGUUUUCUUUGAAGCAGGUCUCACUACAUAGUCUGCACAGCCCGGGCAGGCCAUGAUCUUUGCGCGACCCUCCUGCCUCAGCCUGCCAAGUGGGCAUGUGCCACCACGCCCGGUUUAAAAUUGUGCUUUUAAGAAAGCAGAAGCUUUGGGAAACAAUCAAAAUUGCCCAAGUUUACUCUGUCUUUUCCCUUCCAGCGAACUAAAAAAAAGAAUCCUGGCCUCUUCCAGAUACAGUCAGCCUUUGAAACGCUCCGCGCCCCCUUUGACCCUAGAGUGAGCUUUCGUGGAUUCAUCUGCAGCCCGGAGCAGCUCGGUCCCCGGCCCCACACUCUUCCAGGGCCCGCUCUGCCUGAUGAUGCGGGGCGGCGCUCUGGACCUGGGACCUGCUAUGGAGCCCAUUCCUGCGGUGCCAGCCUCCAGGGCCGAGGUCCCUCGGGUUUCCCUGUCCGAGCACUGCUGUCCUCCCGCCAGCCUCCCCGAAUCGCAGGCACGGCUGUGCCUGUGACGGCUGGGUCUCGGACAGUGAGCGUCCUCGGGCUGACACUGGCCCAGGCCGGCACUGGCCCUGCAGUAGGGCUGGCCUUCCCAUGCUUGAGGACAGCGGGUGGGACAGGGAGGUCUCUAGUGACGUGCUGUGGGGCUCUAUCUCAGCCGGCAUGGGACACAGGGCAGUCAGGACCCCGAGUGUGGGAACAGUGGGAUGGUGGGCACACAUGGCGUGUCCUCCAGUCGCCCUGUCCCUGAGGUCAGGCAGUUGGAAUGAUGCGCCUGGAUAUACACGCUCUGUCCCAGCUUGCAGCUGCACACCAGCGGCAGGUGGCUUGGCGGAAGCCUGUCUGCCACACCGAAUCCCAAACAGGGUGGGCAGGCAGGUGUGUGGGGCUGAGCCUGGCCCUGAGCCAUCGCUUGCCAGUGGCUGGCCAUCCCGAGGCAGGAACUUGGAGCUGCAGCUGCGUGAGGGACCUGCUUGGAGUAGGGCUGAGGGUGUCGGGGGAGUCCUCGGAGAAGCAUGGCCAGUGGGAGCCGCAGGGGAUGCAUGGGCAGCUUCUCAGUGGGGGUGAGACAGUGCGUUUUGGGGAGAAACCGGGGGGUGGGCAGGGAGGUCUCCACAUCAGUGGUGGGAGGCGGAGGAGACUCAGCCCCACGCGAGGGCCAUGUCUGGUGGGAGGUCCGGGGGCCUCCUCACCUGGUCACGACAGUGCAGGCAGUGACCCUACAUGGCUGAGCCUGUGGCUGGGGUGACUGCAGCCUCCCAGGUCCCAGCUCUUCCUGGGAAAGGGAAGCCGCCCCGUCAAGUGUGGCUGGGAAGGCAGAGCCCUAGGGUGACUUUCUGUGACCCUUGGAUACCAGAAGCCAGGUGUCCCUGAGUGGAUGGCCAUGCCCAAAGGAAGACCCCUGUGGAGCACAGCUACUGCACUGGGGCUAAGCCCCGCCCUGCGGUCCCCCAGCCCAGAGGGGCUCCCACACUCGCCUAUCACCUGGGGCCCUGGGCACCAUCCCUUACUGAGCACUCUUUGAAGGCUGUCAGUGAUUUUCUCCAGCGCCGAGAGGCUUUUAAUCUGAUAAAAUGUUUCUUUCUCCUCUUCUGUGGGAAAAAUCAAGGGCUACGAUCAGCUCCAACCAACAAUUUUGGCUCAGUUCUAUUAAAGCUUGUGUCUACAUGUCCCCCCCGUACCUCAUGCACUUAUAGGUGGGGCAUUUUUUUUUGAGACAGGGUCUUGCUAGGUGGUUCAGGCUGACCUUGAACUCACUAUGCAGCUGAGGCUGGCCUCAAAUUUGCAGCAAUCCUCCUGCCUCAGCCUCCCAAGUGCUGGGAUCACAGGCAUGCACCAUCAUGCCCAGCAGGUGGGGCUUUGUGGAAGUGGCUAGAUUGUGGGCGUGUGGUACUGGAUUAAGGGUGUGAUAACUGGAUUGAUCCCUGAUUGGUUUAGCAUAGUUUUGGGUGUGGACUAUGGAAAGGCUUGUAGUCUGGAUGGGAUAAAAAGGGAAAGGAAGACUUACUGCUUGCUGCCUCCUGGCUACCCUGCCAUAGACUGUUUCUCCCCUGCCAUGCCGCCCUCCCUUGGGAUCAGCCCACUGUGGAUUGAAACCUCUACAAACUGUGAACUAAAGUAAACCUUUCUUCCUUGAACUUGUAGGUGUCGGGUACAUGUGUCCCUGGCAGCACACGCACCCUUCCUCGCCUCCGUCACCUGGGAGCCCAGCGCUUCUCCUUGCUGACGAGGCUCCCGACUCGGGUGGGUGGGGUGAAGGGGGCUCUGGUU
Long non-coding RNA from Heterocephalus glaber (naked mole-rat), 5596 nucleotides. RefSeq lists it as uncharacterized. The record is from RefSeq and is a predicted model, not a curated record. NCBI's taxonomy places the organism in Eukaryota, Metazoa, Chordata, Mammalia, Rodentia, Bathyergidae.